Molecule: long non-coding RNA, 1223 nt
Filed under: Coccomyxa subellipsoidea
Lineage: Eukaryota; Viridiplantae; Chlorophyta; Trebouxiophyceae; Coccomyxaceae
Description: long non-coding RNA (CSUB_LNC000014)
Source: RNAcentral
CUGCUCCCCGGGCAUCGUCCGGACAGCAUAUGUCUUCGAUGAAAGGAAUGGAUAAACUAACAUACAUCGCAGAGCCAUUUGUGCACCCAUCGCUACUAGUAGGGUAAUCGACCUCGGGUUUUGGGUAUUCUUUUUCACGAUUGUUGUCUCCACCUGCAGUUCUGGAACGCGUGUGAAGCAUGAUGCCUUGGCGAUGGUUGCUUUCGACCAGAAAUAUUGAGUCAACUGCCACACACCGCAGAGCUAGACAGCAUCGUGUAGGAUUGGCGCGGUUAUUUUUGAUAAGUAUACUCAUUUGCUUAAAUUCGAGCAUCCUAUCAUUAUCAAGCAAUGUGAUAGGUCAGUAUCGCGUUAGGUCCAAUCAUGCAAGUGAAAGAGACCCUCGCACCUGCGGAAACUGGCAGGGACCUUACGAGCACCUUGAUAGGGCGAUCAAGGAAGGCAUGGAAUACCCAAGAUAUACAGUUAUGGCGUAUUCAAGCAUGGGUAAGCUAUAUUCGCGUGCAUCCAUAGCCAUUACUUGUCAACAGUCAGAAAAGCACAUUUGUAGGUUUUCAUAUCUUUUUGUGGCCUGUCUUCCAGGUCUCAGCGAUGCACAGUAAGGGCAAUGGACCCCUUGUCAUAACUGAGGUUUGAAAAGAUGGUACUAUCCGGUACACUCGAAUUCGUUUUGACAAGCCCGUCAUAAGUUGCUUGACAGAGGUUAUGGUGCAGGAGUUGCAUGAUUACAGCUUUCAUGUACUCAGUUCUUACAGGAAGAGCCUUUGUUCUACGAAAUCUCGACGAUUCAUUCAAGCUCCAAGAUGGGUGUGUUAAUCCCUCUUCUAUAUCAAGGACUUCUGUCUUGCUGGAAUUGUCAAAGACCAUGCCAAGGAAUUCUAACCUGCUUGUGCCGUUCCAUUUAGGUAUGAUAGGCCAAAUAUAGACUGGACGUUUCAAGUUGACGAAACUGGCCGAUCGGUACAUAGGUUGUCUGAUCUUGGUACUGGUGGAGAGGUGAGCCUAAUACUUUGAAAUUUUGAAAACCUUUAAUGUUGCAAAUCAGCGAAUUGUUGGCAUGGCUACUUGUAACGGCUGGCUGUGCCAAACAACUUCGCUGGCUUGGACCAAAUGCAGGAGCCUAAGAGUUCAGCUUUGCCAAUAUUUCGGAACGGCAACCUGCAUGACAUAGGUACGCGCCACCCAGUAUGUAGAGGAACAACAGAAUCACAGGGAUAUCGAUU